CACAGAAUCAGGAGCAAGAUUUGGGGAAAGAGUGUCAAAGCUUGAGUGAACCCAUGAAUAACCAGACAAGAGAUGCCUAUUCUGGAGAUGUAGAUAGUGGACUUGCGGUGGUGAUUUCAGGAAGCAGUGAUGAUCUCUACAAACCUACCUUCCUCGCCAUGUAAAGAUGACAUUUCCUCAAUAUAUUGUGCACAGAAGUUUACUGAAGUAAUUAAGAGUGAAACUCCUGAGCAAUCUGAGUACAAAUAUCUGCCUACUCAUCUUGGCAACUUUUGCUCUUGUCCCAGUGCCUCAGACAGUCAGAGGGAAGAAACAUCAAAAUUCUGUGUGUCCUCUACAACAGAAGAAAAAUGGCACAAGCCCAAGGUGAAAUUGUGAAAUAGGAAAAGUUUGCCUUUGAUGGCCUUUUGGUUCUUGGAAAAACAACCUCUCCUACUUUUGGUUUUCCAAAAAUACCCUCUAUUCCUACAGAAGAAGAAAGAAUCCUCUAUCCUUUUUGAAUUUUGAUGAAAACUUGUUUUAAUAAGCUAGCAGUCCCAGUUUCCAUUUACAAGUUUGAACUUUUAAACUCUCCAGUAGAUUUAAAAAUCUAUCGUCAA
Long non-coding RNA from Mustela erminea (ermine), 599 nucleotides. RefSeq lists it as uncharacterized. The record is from RefSeq and is a predicted model, not a curated record. NCBI's taxonomy places the organism in Eukaryota, Metazoa, Chordata, Mammalia, Carnivora, Mustelidae. The transcript is spliced from 4 exons.